GGAGCCAUGGCUCAGUGGUAGAGCAUCUGCUUGGCAUGUGGAAGCUCCCAAGUUCGAUCCCCAGUACCUCCA
Molecule: transfer RNA, 72 nt
Filed under: Sphaerodactylus townsendi
Lineage: Eukaryota; Metazoa; Chordata; Lepidosauria; Squamata; Sphaerodactylidae
Description: tRNA-Ala
Rfam family: tRNA
About the family: Transfer RNA (tRNA) molecules are approximately 80 nucleotides in length.
Source: RNAcentral